GACGAACGCUGGCGGCGUGCUUAACACAUGCAAGUCGAACGGAAAGGCUCCAGCUUGCUGGCGUACUCGAGUGGCGAACGGGUGAGUAACACGUGGGUAAUCUGCCCUGCACUCUGGGAUAAGCCUGGGAAACUGGGUCUAAUACUGGAUAUGACCUUUCUCCUUAUGGGGUUUGGUGGAAAGUUUUUCGGUGUAGGAUGAGCCCGCGGCCUAUCAGCUUGUUGUUGGGGUGAUGGCUUACCAAGGCGACGACGGGUAGCCGGCCUGAGAGGGUGAUCGGCCACAUUGGGACUGAGAUACGGCCCAGACUCCUACGGGAGGCAGCAGUGGGGAAUAUUGCACAAUGGGCGGAAGCCUGAUGCAGCGACGCCGCGUGAGGGAUGACGGCCUUCGGGUUGUAAACCUCUUUCAGCAGGGACGAAGCGUAAGUGACGGUACCUGCAGAAGAAGCACCGGCUAACUAUGUG
Molecule: ribosomal RNA, 467 nt
Filed under: uncultured bacterium
Lineage: Bacteria
Description: partial 16S ribosomal RNA
Rfam family: Bacterial small subunit ribosomal RNA
Source: RNAcentral